RNAcentral lists this ribosomal RNA (253 nucleotides) under uncultured bacterium. Its description in RNAcentral is "partial 16S ribosomal RNA". It matches the Rfam family "Bacterial small subunit ribosomal RNA", at positions 524 to 776 of the family's 1533-position model. The record is from RNAcentral.
GACGAACCGUGCGAGCGUUGUUCGGAAUCACUGGGCUUAAAGGGCGCGUAGGCGGGCUGUCAAGUCCGGGGUGAAAUCCUCCCGCUCAACGGGAGAACGGCCUCGGAUACUGACGAUCUCGAGGGGGAUAGGGGCACGCGGAACUGUGGGUGGAGCGGUGAAAUGCGUUGAUAUCCAUAGGAACUCCGGUGGCGAAGGCGGCGUACUGGAUCCCUUCUGACGCUGAGGCGCGAAAGCCAGGGGAGCAAACGGG